Molecule: ribosomal RNA, 3066 nt
Filed under: Triticum aestivum (bread wheat)
Lineage: Eukaryota; Viridiplantae; Streptophyta; Magnoliopsida; Poales; Poaceae
Description: partial small subunit ribosomal RNA
Source: RNAcentral
AUGGCGGCCAUACUUGGAUCUUUGCUUGGAUCAUGUGCCAGUAAGUUGCAAAAUAUCAUUACAGAUGAGGCCAUACUAAUCCUUGGGGUGGAAGAAGAUCUCAGAGAAGUCCUGCAGCAAGUAGAACUAAUACAGUGUUGCAUAUAUGAUGCUGAGAAAAGGAGGACCAAAGAGCUAGCAGUAAACAAUUGGCUCGGCCAACUGAGAGAUGUUAUAUAUGAUGUUGAUGAAAUCCUGGACGUGGCUAGGUGUAAAGGAAGCAAGCUACUGCCCGACGAUCCUUCAUCAUCAUCAAGCAAUGCGGCUGCAUGUAAAGGCCUCUCAGUUUCCUCUUGCUUUUGUAACAUCUGGUCACGCCGUGAUGUUGCUGUUCGGAUUAGAAGCCUCAACAAAAAAAUAGUAAACAUUUUAAAGGACACGGUAUUCUUAACACUCAACACUGGUAUGCAGCCUACCAGAAAUGGUCCAACAUCCAAACUGAUAAGAAGCUCCAACCUUGUUGAGCCCAACCUUGUGGGGAAGGAGAUCAUAUAUUCUAGCAAGAAGCUGGUGGACUUAGUUGUUGCACAUAAGGAAAGUAAGUCUUACAAGCUUGCUAUUGUUGGAACAGGAGGAGUUGGUAAGACAACACUAGCUCAGAAAAUAUACAAUAACCAAAAAAUUAAAGGAAGCUUCAAGAUGCAAGCAUGGAUUUGUGUUUCACAAGACUACAAUGAAGUAACUCUUCUUAAAGAGGUUCUCCGGACUAUUGGUGUGCAUCAUGAGCAAGGUGAAACCAUAACAGAGCUCCAGAGGAAGCUUGCAGAAACAAUUGAAGGGAAGAGUUUCUUUCUGGUUCUAGAUGAUGUCUGGCAUUCCAAUGUAUGGAUGGAUCUAUUAAGGCCUGCAUUUGCAUUACAUGAAACAACAUCCGGAGUAAUAUUGUUAACCACACGAGAUGAUCAAAUUACAAGGAGGAUAGGUGUAGAGCAUACCCAUCGAGUUGAUCUCAUGUCUGUAGAGGUGGGAUGGGAGCUACUUUGGAAGAGCAUGAACAUUGAGGAAGAGAAAGAAGUGCAGAAUUUAAGAAACACGGGAAUUGAGAUUGUUCGUAAAUGUGGUCACCUCCCUCUUGCAAUCAAGGUUACCGCUAGUGCUUUGGCAAGCAGAGAUCUAACGGAGAAUGAGUGGAAAAAGUAUUUGGGCAAAUAUGCUGGUUCCCAGAACAUGCUCUUGGAUGAAAUAGAAGGAGCUUUGUAUCUAAGCUAUGAUGAGUUAACACAUCGUCUGAAGCAGUGUUUCCUUUAUUGUGCUUUGUAUGCUGAAGAUUCUAUCAUUGAGCGUGAAGAAGUUACCAGGUUAUGGAUUGCUGAAGGAUUCAUCGAGGAGCAGCAAGGCCAACUACUAGAAGACAUAGCAGAAGAGUACUACUACGAGCUAAUACAUCGGAAUCUCCUCCAGCCAGAUAUUAACAGUUUUGACCAGGCUGAAUGCAAAAUGCAUGACCUCUUGAGGCAGCUUGCUUUAAAUAUAUCAAGAGAAGAAUGUUCUGUUGGAGAUGUUGAAUUAUUAAGCGGUGAAAAUAUGUCAAAACUGCGACGUAUUACUGCUGUUAUUAAGAAGGAUAUGUUGGUGUUACCUAGAGUGGAUAAGGUGGAUGUUAAGGUGAGGACUUUCAUAACUAUUAAGGGUGCAACGAGAAUUGAGGAUACAUUGUUCAAGAGAUUCCUCCUCCUUCGUGUUUUAGUACUGAAUUACACACUUGUACAAAGCAUUCCAGGCUAUAUAGGAAAAUUGAUACAUCUACGUCUACUUAAUCUGGAUUAUACUGGCAUAUCUUGUCUUCCGGACUCCAUUGGCUCCCUAAAGAACCUUCAAGUACUGAGCCUGAAAUGGUGUCAUGAUCUGCACGGUCUUCCUUUGGCAAUGACCCUGUUGUGCAGUUUAAGAUGCCUUGAUCUUUUUGGCACAGAAAUAAAUCAGGUUCCAAAAGGCAUGGGGAAAGUGAAGCUCCUCACUUAUUUAGGAGAUUAUCCUGUUGGUGAUGGAAGUGAGAAUGCUGUUAUACAAGAUGGAUGGAACUUGGAAGAGUUGUCUUCUCUGACGCAGAUGAGGUAUCUUUCUCUUGUUAAAUUGGAAAGAGCAGCUCACUGCAGUACAAAUGCAGUGCUUACGGACAAAAAACAUCUAAAAGAACUAAUGCUAGAGUGGACUGGACGUGGAGAGGGACCAUAUUCAGAAGAACAUGUCAGCAAUGCUGAGAAGGUCUUUGAGCAGCUAAUACCUCCACCGAACCUGGAAGACCUAUGUAUUUUUGGAUUCUUUGGUCGGCGGUUUGCCACCUGGUUUGGUACCACCUAUUUGUCUUCAUUAAUAUACUUGAAACUCAUAGAUGUACGAUCAUGUGUGCAUCUUCCACCCAUCUGGCAGCUAGCCAACUUGAAAUAUCUGAGAAUUGAGGGAGCACAUGCAGUAACCAAGGUUGGACCUGAAUUUGUUGGUUGCAAGAAGGGUGAUCCUGUAUGCGAUGAGUUGGUUGCUUUCCCAAAACUUGAAUGGUUGAUCUUCCAAGAUAUGCCCAACUGGGAGGAGUGGUCUUUUUUUGAGGAAGAAGUUGCUGCUGCUGAUGGACGGGGAGAGGAUGGAGCUGCUGAGAUUCGAAAAGAGGAUGCCCAACCUGCAAGGGUGCGACUGUUGCCUCGUUUGUUGAAAUUGCAACUUCACGGUUGCCCAAAGCUGAGGGAUCUCCCGCAACAGCUUGGAAAGGACACCGCCUGUUUGAAGGUGCUUAGUUUAGUAGGACUAAACAACUUGAAGGCCGUGGAGGACCGCCCAGUGCCCUGUGAGCUCCUUGUUAUUGACGCUUGUGAAGGCCUGGAGAAGGUCUCCAACCUCCCUCGUGUGACAGAACUGCAUGUAGGUGGUUGUCCAAACUUAAGCCAUGUAGAGGGGCUGGGCAGUUUGCGGCAACUAGGGGUGGACAAGGAUAUGCAAAAGAUCUCUUCAUGCUGGUUGCAUGGGCUUCAAGAGCAGCACCAACGACUUCAUGGCGAAGAUCUGGAUAUCUAUACUCUGUUUAGGGAGUAG